Molecule: unclassified non-coding RNA, 1932 nt
Filed under: uncultured fungus
Lineage: Eukaryota; Fungi
Description: sequence contains 18S rRNA gene, ITS1, 5.8S rRNA gene, ITS2, 28S rRNA gene
Rfam family: Eukaryotic large subunit ribosomal RNA (bases 798-1932)
Source: RNAcentral
GGAAGGAUCAUCAACAAAUCCAACCAAAACCACACACACCUUAUUGUGAACUGUUUGUUCUCCUCUUUGUCCUCUUAACCAACCCUUUCCCUCGGGAGGGGGGCGGAGCGGGGGACAAAGGAGAAACUUUCCAACCCAAUUUAUUCACCCCAUACCAAUUCUCGUAAAUCGAGCCUAAGUUUUACGUUUUUUCUUUUGUUUCCUUUCCUUUUAACCAAGGAGAAGAACUAAGAAAAAAAGUUAUGUAUGAAAAUUAAGACACAACUUUUAACAACGGAUCUCUUGGCUCUCGCAACGAUGAAGAACGCAGCGAACUGCGAUACGUAGUGUGAAUUGCAGAAUUCCGUGAAUCAUCGAAUCUUUGAACGCACCUGGCGCUUCCGGGUAUUCCCGGGAGCACGCCUGUCUGAGUAUCAUUACCCUUCUCUUCGCAACUCUCCCGCCUUAUUAUGAGGUCGGGGGCCGAGCAAAGGAGCUUGACGUUUCUCGUUUUCGCAAGAAAGCGCGUGCGUUAAAAAACAAUGAAAUUCGUGGUUGCCUACGGUCACAACACGACCAAACGGUAAACCAUACCUCCGUUUUUCUGUUUCUCCCCUCCCAAUUCUUUUUGAAUAGGAAGGAUACCAAGUUGAAUGGGAAAAAGAGGCGCGAUAAUUUAUUUUAUACGCCUUUGCUUUUCUUCGGGAAAGAGUCUUCCAUUCUCCAGGAGUUACGGCAAACUCGGGUUUAUAGGUGUGGCUUUGCUGCGUGUUGGUAAGCUAAACCGCAUUUUGCGAUCCUGCAAAAAACAAAUUUCAUGAUCUCAGAUCAGGCGAGAUUACCCGCUGAACUUAAGCAUAUUACUAAGCGGUGGAAAAGAAACUAACUAGGAUUCCCUCAGUAACGGCGAGUGAAGCGGGAACAGCUCAACUUUGAAAUCCGGGAGCAAUCCCUGAAUUGUAGUUUAUAGAGGCGUUUUCUGUGGCACGCCCGGUAGAAAUCCUUUGGAACAGGGUAUCAUAGAGGGUGAGAAUCCCGUCCGUGACCGGGUCCCUUGUGUGCCACUCUGUGAGGCGUCUUCGAAGAGUCGGGUUGUUUGGGACUACAGCCCAAAAUGGGUGGUAAACUUCAUCUAAAGCUAAAUACGGGCGAGAGACCGAUAGCGAACAAGUACCGUGAGGGAAAGAUGAAAAGAACUUUGAAAAGAGAGUUAAACAGUACGUGAAAUUGUUAAAAGGGAACCGCUUGGACCCAAUAAGGGCACGCCGGUAAAUCAGCCGCACGGGCGGCGUCUUCCGUGGCGCGUGGUGAGCGGGGACCUCCCUGCCACCUGUGUUUCGUCAAGGCGUCGUGUGCGGUGCACUUUGCCGGUGGCGCCGGCCAGCAUCGGUUCUUUCCUGUCGGACGCGGCCGUGGUGAAGGUAGGUUCCUUCGGGAACUGUUAUAGCACCGCGGUAGUUGGCACGUGCGGGAGGGACCGAGGUUUUUCUCUUCAGCGUGGGUCUCUGGGUCGCCUGUCCUUGGCGGGUUGGCGCACUGGCGGACUGCUUGCAGUCCGUCGGUUCGUCGCCUCCACCGGACAGGGUCGAGUCACACCUUGCGCUCCAGAUGCUGGCGAAAUGGAUUCAAUCGACCCGUCUUGAAACACGGACCAAGGAGUCUAACAGUCAUGCGAGUGUCUGGGUGGUAAACCCGUGCGCGCAAUGAAAGUGAACGUAGGUGGGAUCGCCUCCUUGCGGGGGCGUGCACCAUCGACCGAUCUGGAUAGUCUCUUGAUAGAUUUGAGUCAGAGCAUGCCUGUUGGGACCCGAAAGAUGGUGAACUAUGCCUGCAUAGGGUGAAGCCAGAGGAAACUCUGGUGGAGGCUCGUAGCGAUACUGACGUGCAAAUCGUUCGUCGAAUGUGGGUAUAGCGGCGAAAGACUAAUCGAACCAUCUAGUAGCUGGUUCCCUC